RNAcentral lists this ribosomal RNA (309 nucleotides) under uncultured eukaryote. RNAcentral describes it as "SSU rRNA". It matches the Rfam family "Eukaryotic small subunit ribosomal RNA", at positions 111 to 414 of the family's 1831-position model. The record is from RNAcentral.
AAUAAUUUAUUUGAUGGUUCCUUACUACACGGAUAACUGUAGUAAUUCUAGAGCUAAUACGUGCGUAAAAUCCUGACUCUUUCUGGGAAAGGAUGUAUUUAUUAGAUAAAAAACCAAUGCGGGUUCUGCCCGGUUUUGUGGUGAAUCAUAGUAACUUUUCGAAGCGCAUGGCUUCACGCCGGCGCUAGUUCAUUCAAAUUUCUGCCCUAUCAGCUUUCGACGGUAGUGUAGUGGACUACCGUGGCGUUAACGGGUGACGGAGAAUUAGGGUUCGAUUCCGGAGAGGGAGCCUGAGAAACGGCUACCACA